RNAcentral lists this ribosomal RNA (324 nucleotides) under uncultured Ruhlandiella. Its description in RNAcentral is "eukaryotic LSU rRNA". The stretch from base 1 to 102 matches the Rfam family "5.8S ribosomal RNA", at positions 53 to 154 of the family's 154-position model. Lineage: Eukaryota; Fungi; Ascomycota; Pezizomycetes; Pezizales; Pezizaceae. The record is from RNAcentral.
AUGCAAUAAGUAAUGUGAAUUGCAGAAUCUCAUGAAUUAUCAAAUCUUUGAAUGCACAUUGCACCCUAUGGUAUUCCGUAGGGCAUGCCUGUCUGAGCGUUAGCUCCCCCCACACUCAAGUCUCUUAAUUGAAGCUUGGAUUACUUGAAAGAAGUGGCUGAAACACAAUAGGCUACUCUUUGGAAAAUCAUAGGCAGUAUGGCACCUGAACCAGGCGUAAUAAGGAUAUAAAAGCGUCUCUUUUUAGGAAGGUUGUACUUGCCUUAACCCACCUAUUUUCUUCUAGGUGACCUCAGAUCAGGUAGGGAUACUUACUGAACUUAA